AGGGAGAGAGAGAGAGAGAGAGAUUUGCAUGAGUCUGCCACUAGUUGGACUGCAGCCAAGACAGCUACAGCAAGCUUCAGAGAAACUCAGAAAGCUAAAUGACAUGUCUGAAGUCAAACAGCUGCUCAGAGGCGUUUGGAUUCGUGAACUGGGACUCGAAUCCAGCCUGGAAAGAACUCCAGGACAGGAACAUGGGGGAAGUUAGGGGGCUAAGGGUGCGUCCAGGUCAAAGGAAAAGAAAGUGAUGUGGAAAGCUGUUGUACUGUCAGAAAAUCAAAGCAAGUCAAAGAAAGGACCAG
Long non-coding RNA from Mus musculus (house mouse), 299 nucleotides. RefSeq annotates it as predicted gene, 42123. The record is from RefSeq and is a predicted model, not a curated record. Lineage: Eukaryota; Metazoa; Chordata; Mammalia; Rodentia; Muridae. The transcript has 3 exons.